RNAcentral lists this ribosomal RNA (566 nucleotides) under uncultured bacterium. Its description in RNAcentral is "bacterial SSU rRNA". It matches the Rfam family "Bacterial small subunit ribosomal RNA", at positions 28 to 638 of the family's 1533-position model. The record is from RNAcentral.
AGCGAACGCUGGCGGCAGGCUUAACACAUGCAAGUCGAGCGGGCGUAGCAAUACGUCAGCGGCAGACGGGUGAGUAACGCGUGGGAACAUACCUUUUGGUUCGGAACAACACAGGGAAACUUGUGCUAAUACCGGAUAAGCCCUUACGGGGAAAGAUUUAUCGCCGAAAGAUUGGCCCGCGUCUGAUUAGCUAGUUGGUGAGGUAACGGCUCACCAAGGCGACGAUCAGUAGCUGGUCUGAGAGGAUGAUCAGCCACAUUGGGACUGAGACACGGCCCAAACUCCUACGGGAGGCAGCAGUGGGGAAUAUUGGACAAUGGGCGCAAGCCUGAUCCAGCCAUGCCGCGUGAGUGAUGAAGGCCCUAGGGUUGUAAAGCUCUUUUGUGCGGGAAGAUAAUGACGGUACCGCAAGAAUAAGCCCCGGCUAACUUCGUGCCAGCAGCCGCGGUAAUACGAAGGGGGCUAGCGUUGCUCGGAAUCACUGGGCGUAAAGGGUGCGUAGGCGGGUUCUUAAGUCAGAGGUGAAAUCCUGGAGCUCAACUCCAGAACUGCCUUUGAUACUGAGA